UUGAUGGGAAGAUAUUAUUUAACUAUCCAAAAUAUUAUUUAAUUAUUUUCAGAAUUAUUUUCUUUCAAUGUUUAUUCAAAUAGAACUUAAACCCAUCUCAGAAUUUUUAAAUGCUUGAUGACGUCACAUUUAAAACGUGGCAACAUUGGUUUCCCCACUUUGACAGCCAAUGCUUAGUAGAGGGGUACGAAGGAUUCAGCUGUGAACGUGAGCCUUGGAUUGCCAUUGUUUCUCGAGUGUUCGGUCUGAAUCGUAGUGUGCGGGGUCAUUAGACUCAAUUAUUCACCUCUAAUUCUCAGUUCCAAAUUGAUUAAAUAUUACAAUAAAAGUAUAGUGAAGUUAUCCAGCAGCAGUGGAUUUGAAGAAUUUUAGAGCAUACUAUAUCCAAUGAGUUCUACCCCGCACCUACCAUGAAAUCUUAAAGCCACCCUACAACAACACCAAGGCCAGACCACACAGAGAGAAACAAUCAAUAGGCGACCAGCCUGGAUUAUUUCCACAUUUUCUUUUUUUGAGUACCUCCAGCUGCUUUCCAACAGUUUUGAGUACCUUCAGCUGCUUUCUACUAGUCUUCCUCUCCUGUACCUCCAGCAGGACAGCUGCUAGCGAGAGUUAGCACCCUUGGGUGCUCAUUACAUCAACUUCAAGAUUAGGAAAGAGUGGUUUGUUUGGGAACAUUUACUGUGCUCUUAUUAAAGACAGACUGGUUUUGUGAUAUUUAGUACAUUUUUUUUUAUAGUUCAAUUGCACACACAUUUUUCCUGCUUUAUAUUUUUUAUAGGUUUUUUUUUCUUUACAACAUAAUAUUUAAUUGAUAGCAUUCCCCAACACUCUGCAAUCUAUAAAGGUAUAAAUUUCUGAGCUCAGAUAUUUUCCCUGAUAAUAGUAGUCGGUACUCUUAUCUUGAUUAUUUUUAGGCUGUGUUCCACUUUUGUAUAAUUAUUUAAACUCAUUCCAUUAUUUUAGUAUAUGUUUAAUUAAAUUUUUAAAAAUUAACUUCACAUAUUAGUCAAAAUUGUAAUUAUUAACUUUAUUUAACUUGAACUUAUUAACUUUACUUAACUUUAACUUAUUAACUUUAUUUAACUUUAACUUUAAUUUAUUAAAUUCAUAUGAACUUCUGGAUUCUAAUCCCUCAGAUUAGUUUUUGGUUUCACUUGUUAUUAUUACUAUUAUAAACCACGAGUUAGGAAAAGGAUCUGUGUAUCCACUCGUAGGUUUAUUUAUUCAAUAAGGCUUGUGCCUGUCCCACUCACAGUGAGGUAUUUAUAUGUUAUAUAUAGUAUCAGGUAGUAUUUAAUUAAGGUGUACGUAUUAUAAACGUACAAUUAUUAUUUGGUGAGGGUUCUACUAACCUAGUUGUAAGUUGUACUUCCUGUAUUAGAGGUACCCGUAGUCAGUUUUUCUAACCUUAUAAAGAGUAUUCUUAGAUCAUAGUUGUAUGAUGAUUUUGUAAUUGACUUUCACUAGUAUCACUUUUUCCUGUCAUGUUAGAGUUACACACUAGUUACUUGUCCUAACUCAGAGAUUGUUAAAAAGAUCUAGUAGUUACAUUCAAUAAAUAUACAUUUAUUGUGA
RNAcentral lists this long non-coding RNA (1578 nucleotides) under Diabrotica virgifera virgifera (western corn rootworm). RNAcentral's name for it is "uncharacterized LOC126880561". Lineage: Eukaryota; Metazoa; Arthropoda; Insecta; Coleoptera; Chrysomelidae. The record is from RNAcentral.